UUUAAGGCUAAAAUUGGCAUUUUUUAAGUUAAGGGAAUUCAGAAAUUAGGACAACUAUGAACUCAACAGUGAGUCCUAUAAAGAGGAGAGUGUGGAUUUCCAGAGCAGAGUGGUUUUCCAUGGUACCCAAAUAUCCUGGGCACUAAUUUGAUAAGUUUAUGAGCUUCAGCUUUCUGAUCCUUGGGGAUACCAGCAAGGUGCUAGAACCCAAACCCUUCAUCUACAGAUGAAGAGAGCCACUUAAGUAAAGGAGGGACAUUUCAGACCUGCAAUGGCUCCUUCUCCGCAGGCAAUUUAGUAAUUUACAAUCCAACUUUAGAACCCUAAAGCCACAGCUAGUUUUGUCAGAGUCUGGCUAGGGGGACUUAGGAUGGGAAAGGAAGAAGGGAUAAGAAAAAUAAAAUCUGGUCAAGUUAUCAUUCUGAAAUAACCACAAAGAAUGACAGGACCUCUGUCCAGAAGGCACACGGCCCAGGAGCUGAAUAUUUAGGCACUAUAUUCUCAAAUGCCUGUUCUCUGAGCUUACAUAUUCCAUUGUUUCCAACAGUAAAUACCCCAUUCCAUGAAUGCUCUAAGACCCCAAAGAUUACCCUUUGACUGGGUCUGUGUAUAUUCUUCUAAAGCACUAAUGAUCAAAAUUGAAGACACAUUCAGAGAUUUGAUUGGUUGGGAUUAGCUGGUUUGGUGGUGGUUAGUGUAUUUGUGUUUUAUUUUUAUGUCUUUGUAUAUAGUUCUGCAUAAUUCAAAUUGUUCUUUCUUCCAGAUAAGACCACAUAACUGUAAUUAAUAUCAAUAAAGGGAAUAUUCCCGUGGAUUAAAAAAAUCAAACAACAACAAAAAAAUAAAACAAAAUUAGGCAUUUGGUGGGAGAUAGCUAGUCUGUAAAGUUAAGGAUUCUUGAGGUUUAGAAUCUACAGACACUUUCCAAAGCCCUAGCAGGACAUGAGUAAUGUGUCCAGAGAAUACUGUAUUUCUGUAAAAUAUACAAAAAGUCAAACUGUUUUAACAUCAGUUAGUCAAGACCACUGUCUCUUUCCACUUCUAUGCUUUGUUAGUUAUCCUUUCAUAUUGGUAGUAGAAAACAGCCUGUAAGGGGGCUGGGGUUGUGGCUCAGUGGUAGAGCACUCGCCUAGCAUGCAAGAUGCACUGGGUUCGAUCCUCAGCACCACCAUAAAUAUAAAGUAAAGAUAUUAUGUCCACCUAAAACUUAAGAGUAAAUAUUUAAAAAAAAAAAACCAGCCUAUAGGUACUUUUAAAUUCCA
Molecule: long non-coding RNA, 1262 nt
Filed under: Marmota monax (woodchuck)
Lineage: Eukaryota; Metazoa; Chordata; Mammalia; Rodentia; Sciuridae
Rfam family: tRNA (bases 1100-1171)
Source: RNAcentral